Molecule: ribosomal RNA, 419 nt
Filed under: bacterium
Lineage: Bacteria
Description: partial 16S ribosomal RNA
Rfam family: Bacterial small subunit ribosomal RNA
Source: RNAcentral
UGGGGGAUAUUGCACAAUGGGCGAAAGCCUGAUGCAGCGACGCCGCGUGGGGGAUGAAGGCCUUCGGGUUGUAAACUUCUUUUGCUCUGAACAAGGCGCACCAUGGGGUGUGUUGAGUGUAGGGGUUGAUUAGCGCCGGCUAACUACGUGCCAGCAGCCGCGGUAAUACGUAGGGCGCGAGCGUUGUCCGGAAUUAUUGGGGGUAACGGGCUUGUAGGUGGCUGGUUGCGUCUGUCGUGAAAGCUCAUGGCUUAACUGUGGGUUUGCGGUGGGUACGGGCGGGCUUGAGUGGAGUAGGGGAGGCUGGAAUUCCUGGUGUAGCGGUGGAAUGCGCAGAUAUCAGGGGGAAUACCGGUGGCGAAGGCGGGUCUCUGGGCUGUUGCUGACACUGAGGAGCGAAAGCAUGGGGAGCGAACAGG